RNAcentral lists this long non-coding RNA (576 nucleotides) under Gossypium raimondii (Peruvian cotton). RNAcentral's name for it is "long non-coding RNA (GRAI_LNC000818)". Lineage: Eukaryota; Viridiplantae; Streptophyta; Magnoliopsida; Malvales; Malvaceae. The record is from RNAcentral.
UUAACUGGAGGUGUAGGAACUGGGGGCUUAUAUGGGGGAGUUGGUGCUUUAGUUGGCGGUGCUGGUGCUGGAGUUGGUGCUUUGGUUGGGGGUGUUGGGGGCUUAUAUGGGGGAGUAGGGGCCUUGACUGGAGGUGCCGGUGCGGGAGUAGGGGGUUUAUAUGGGGGAGUAGGAGCCUUGGUUGGUGGUGCUGGUGCUGGGGGCUUAAAUGGUGGAGUUGGAGCCUUGGUUGGUGGUGCAGGAGCUGGGGGCUUAUAUGGUGGAGUAGGAGCCUUGGUUGGUGGUGCAGGAGCUGGGGGCUUAUAUGGUGGAGUAGGAGCCUUGGUUGGUGGUGCAGGAGCUGGGGGUUUAUAUGGGGGAGUAGGAGCCUUGGUUGGUGGUUUAUAUGGUGGAGUGGGGGCCUUGGUAGGGGGUUUGUAUGGAGUGGGGCCCUUAGUUGGGGGUGCUGGAGUUGGAGCCUUGUACGGCGGCACCGGAGUGGUGGGAGGCUUAACGGGUGGAGCAGGGAUAGGUGCCUUCACUGGAACAGGAGCAGCAUACUUAAUCUGAACAGUGAUAUGCAACAAAUUUAGCAAA